ACCAGACUCCUACGGGAGGCAGCAGUGGGGGAUAUUGCACAAUGGGGGGAACCCUGAUGCAGCGACGCCGCGUGGGUGAAGAAGCGCCUCGGCGCGUAAAGCCCUGUCAGCAGGGAAGAAAAUGACGGUACCUGAAGAAGAAGCCCCGGCUAACUACGUGCCAGCAGCCGCGGUAAUACGUAGGGGGCAAGCGUUAUCCGGAUUUACUGGGUGUAAAGGGGGCGCAGACGGCGAUGCAAGCCAGGAGUGAAAGCCCGGGGCCCAACCCCGGGACUGCUCUUGGAACUGCGUGGCUGGAGUGCAGGAGGGGCAGGCGGAAUUCCUGGUGUAGCGGUGAAAUGCGUAGAUAUCAGGAGGAACACCGGUGGCGAAGGCGGCCUGCUGGACUGCAACUGACGUUGAGGCCCGAAAGCGUGGGGAGCAAACAGGAUUAGAUACCCUGGUACA
This 447-nucleotide ribosomal RNA is filed under the name uncultured bacterium. Its description in RNAcentral is "partial 16S ribosomal RNA". It matches the Rfam family "Bacterial small subunit ribosomal RNA", at positions 330 to 794 of the family's 1533-position model. The record is from RNAcentral.